This 484-nucleotide ribosomal RNA is filed under the name uncultured bacterium. RNAcentral describes it as "partial 16S ribosomal RNA". It matches the Rfam family "Bacterial small subunit ribosomal RNA", at positions 30 to 507 of the family's 1533-position model. The record is from RNAcentral.
AUUGAACGCUGGCGGCAGGCCUAACACAUGCAAGUCGAGCGGAUGAAGGGAGCUUGCUCCUGGAUUCAGCGGCGGACGGGUGAGUAAUGCCUAGGAAUCUGCCUGGUAGUGGGGGAUAACGUCCGGACACGGGCGCUAAUACCGCAUACGUCCUGCGGGAGAAAGUGGGGGAUCUUCGGACCUCACGCUAUCAGAUGAGCCUAGGUCGGAUUAGCUAGUUGGUGGGGUAAAGGCCUACCAAGGCGACGAUCCGUAACUGGUCUGAGAGGAUGAUCAGUCACACUGGAACUGAGACACGGUCCAGACUCCUACGGGAGGCAGCAGUGGGGAAUAUUGGACAAUGGGCGAAAGCCUGAUCCAGCCAUGCCGCGUGUGUGAAGAAGGUCUUCGGAUUGUAAAGCACUUUAAGUUGGGAGGAAGGGCAGUAAGUUAAUACCUUGCUGUUUUGACGUUACCAACAGAAUAAGCACCGGCUAACUUCGUG